UGAGUAACACGUGAGUAACCUGCCCUUGACUCUGGGAUAAGCGUUGGAAACGACGUCUAAUACCGGAUAUGAACCGCGAAGGCAUCUUCUGCGGUUGGAAAGAAUUUUGGUCAAGGAUGGACUCGCGGCCUAUCAGCUAGUUGGUGAGGUAACGGCCCACCAAGGCGACGACGGGUAGCCGGCCUGAGAGGGUGACCGGCCACACUGGGACUGAGACACGGCCCAGACUCCUACGGGAGGCAGCAGUGGGGAAUAUUGCACAAUGGGCGAAAGCCUGAUGCAGCAACGCCGCGUGAGGGACGACGGCCUUCGGGUUGUAAACCUCUUUUAGCAGGGAAGAAGCGAAAGUGACGGUACCUGCAGAAAAAGCACCGGCUAACUACGUGCCAGCAGCCGCGGUAAUACGUAGGGUGCAAGCGUUGUCCGGAAUUAUUGGGCGUAAAGAGCUCGUAGGCGGUUUGUCGCGUCUGCUGUGAAAACGCGAGGCUCAACCUCGCGCCUGCAGUGGGUACGGGCAGACUAGAGUGCGGUAGGGGAGAUUGGAAUUCCUGGUGUAGCGGUGGAAUGCGCAGAUAUCAGGAGGAACACCGAUGGCGAAGGCAGAUCUCUGGGCCGUAACUGACGCUGAGGAGCGAAAGCGUGGGGAGCGAACAGGAUUAGAUACCCUGGUAGUCCACGCCGUAAACGUUGGGAACUAGAU
RNAcentral lists this ribosomal RNA (700 nucleotides) under Labedella sp. RNAcentral's name for it is "bacterial SSU rRNA". It matches the Rfam family "Bacterial small subunit ribosomal RNA", at positions 107 to 821 of the family's 1533-position model. Lineage: Bacteria; Bacillati; Actinomycetota; Actinomycetes; Micrococcales; Microbacteriaceae. The record is from RNAcentral.